AGUCGAGCGAACGGACGAGAAGCUUGCUUCUCUGAUGUUAGCGGCGGACGGGUGAGUAACACGUGGAUAACCUACCUAUAAGACUGGGAUAACUUCGGGAAACCGGAGCUAAUACCGGAUAAUAUUUUGAACCGCAUGGUUCAAAAGUGAAAGACGGUCUUGCUGUCACUUAUAGAUGGAUCCGCGCUGCAUUAGCUAGUUGGUAAGGUAACGGCUUACCAAGGCAACGAUGCAUAGCCGACCUGAGAGGGUGAUCGGCCACACUGGAACUGAGACACGGUCCAGACUCCUACGGGAGGCAGCAGUAGGGAAUCUUCCGCAAUGGGCGAAAGCCUGACGGAGCAACGCCGCGUGAGUGAUGAAGGUCUUCGGAUCGUAAAACUCUGUUAUUAGGGAAGAACAUAUGUGUAAGUAACUGUGCACAUCUUGACGGUACCUAAUCAGAAAGCCACGGCUAACUACGUGCCAGCAGCCGCGGUAAUACGUAGGUGGCAAGCGUUAUCCGGAAUUAUUGGGCGUAAAGCGCGCGUAGGCGGUUUUUUAAGUCUGAUGUGAAAGCCCACGGCUCAACCGUGGAGGGUCAUUGGAAACUGGAAAACUUGAGUGCAGAAGAGGAAAGUGGAACUCCAUGUGUAGCGGUGAAAUGCGCAGAGAUAUGGAGGAACACCAGUGGCGAAGGCGACUUUCUGGUCUG
RNAcentral lists this ribosomal RNA (694 nucleotides) under uncultured Staphylococcus sp. RNAcentral's name for it is "bacterial SSU rRNA". It matches the Rfam family "Bacterial small subunit ribosomal RNA", at positions 60 to 736 of the family's 1533-position model. Lineage: Bacteria; Bacillati; Bacillota; Bacilli; Caryophanales; Staphylococcaceae. The record is from RNAcentral.